This 616-nucleotide ribosomal RNA is filed under the name uncultured bacterium. Its description in RNAcentral is "bacterial SSU rRNA". It matches the Rfam family "Bacterial small subunit ribosomal RNA", at positions 100 to 715 of the family's 1533-position model. The record is from RNAcentral.
GCACGGGUGAGUAACACGUAUCCAACCUGCCGACAACACUGGGAUAGCCUUUCGAAAGAAAGAUUAAUACCGGAUGGCAUAAUUAUUCCGCAUGGGAUAAUUAUUAAAGAAUUUCGGCUGUCGAUGGGGAUGCGUUCCAUUAGGCAGUUGGCGGGGUAACGGCCCACCAAACCUACGAUGGAUAGGGGUUCUGAGAGGAAGGUCCCCCACAUUGGAACUGAGACACGGUCCAAACUCCUACGGGAGGCAGCAGUGAGGAAUAUUGGUCAAUGGACGAGAGUCUGAACCAGCCAAGUAGCGUGAAGGAUGACUGCCCUAUGGGUUGUAAACUUCUUUUAUACGGGAAUAAAGUGAGCCACGUGUGGCUUUUUGUAUGUACCGUAUGAAUAAGGAUCGGCUAACUCCGUGCCAGCAGCCGCGGUAAUACGGAGGAUCCGAGCGUUAUCCGGAUUUAUUGGGUUUAAAGGGAGCGUAGGCGGGUUGUUAAGUCAGUUGUGAAAGUUUGCGGCUCAACCGUAAAAUUGCAGUUGAUACUGGCGACCUUGAGUGCAACAGAGGUAGGCGGAAUUCGUGGUGUAGCGGUGAAAUGCUUAGAUAUCACGAAGAACUCCGAUUG